This 497-nucleotide ribosomal RNA is filed under the name uncultured bacterium. Its description in RNAcentral is "partial 16S ribosomal RNA". It matches the Rfam family "Bacterial small subunit ribosomal RNA", at positions 28 to 507 of the family's 1533-position model. The record is from RNAcentral.
GAUGAACGCUGGCGGCGUGCCUAAUACAUGCAAGUCGAGCGAACAGACGAGGAGCUUGCUCCUCUGCCGUUAGCGGCGGACGGGUGAGUAACACGUGGAUAACCUACCUAUAAGACUGGGAUAACUUCGGGAAACCGGAGCUAAUACCGGAUAAUAUAUUGAACCGCAUGGUUCAAUAGUGAAAGACGGCUUUGCUGUCACUUAUAGAUGGAUCCGCGCCGCAUUAGCUAGUUGGUAAGGUAACGGCUUACCAAGGCGACGAUGCGUAGCCGACCUGAGAGGGUGAUCGGCCACACUGGAACUGAGACACGGUCCAGACUCCUACGGGAGGCAGCAGUAGGGAAUCUUCCGCAAUGGGCGAAAGCCUGACGGAGCAACGCCGCGUGAGUGAUGAAGGUCUUCGGAUCGUAAAACUCUGUUAUUAGGGAAGAACAAAUGUGUAAUUAACUAUGCACGUCUUGACGGUACCUAAUCAGAAAGCCACGGCUAACUACGUG